CCUACGGGUGGCAGCAGUGAGGAAUAUUGGUCAAUGGGCUUACGCCUGAACCAGCCAAGUCGCGUGAGGGAAGACUGCCCUAUGGGUUGUAAACCUCUUUUGUCAGGGAGCAACGCCGGCUACGUGUAGCCGGACUGAGAGUACCUGCAGAAAAAGCAUCGGCUAACUCCGUGCCAGCAGCCGCGGUAAUACGGAGGAUGCGAGGGUUAUCCGGAUUUAUGGGGUUAAAAGGGUGCGUAGGCGGAAUGCAAAGUCAGCGGUAAAAGCGCGGGGCUCAACCCCGCUCCGCCGUUGAAACUGGCGUUCUAGAGUGGGCGAGAAGUAUGCGGAAUGCGUGGUGUAGCGGUGAAAUGCAUAGAUAUAUGGAGGAACACCAGUGGCGAAAGCGGCUCUCUGGUCUGUAACUGACGCUGAGGUUCGAAAGCGAGGGUAGCAAACGGGAUUAGAUACCCGGGUAGUC
RNAcentral lists this ribosomal RNA (460 nucleotides) under uncultured bacterium. RNAcentral describes it as "partial 16S ribosomal RNA". It matches the Rfam family "Bacterial small subunit ribosomal RNA", at positions 338 to 795 of the family's 1533-position model. The record is from RNAcentral.